RNAcentral lists this ribosomal RNA (253 nucleotides) under uncultured bacterium. RNAcentral describes it as "partial 16S ribosomal RNA". It matches the Rfam family "Bacterial small subunit ribosomal RNA", at positions 524 to 776 of the family's 1533-position model. The record is from RNAcentral.
UACGUAGGGUGCGAGCGUUGUCCGGAUUUAUUGGGCGUAAAGAGCUCGUAGGCGGUUUGUCGCGUCGGCCGUGAAAUCUCCACGCUUAACGUGGAGCGUGCGGUCGAUACGGGCAGACUUGAGUUCGGUAGGGGAGACUGGAAUUCCUGGUGUAGCGGUGAAAUGCGCAGAUAUCAGGAGGAACACCGGUGGCGAAGGCGGCGCGCUGGACCACUACUGACGCUGAGGAACGAAAGCUAGGGGAGCAAACAGG